UACGUAGGGUGCGAGCGUUGUCCGGAAUUAUUGGGCGUAAAGAGCUCGUAGGCGGUCUCCCAAGUCCGGGGUGAAAUCUUUCGGCCUAACCGGAAAAGGGCCUUGGAUACUGGGGGACUCGAGGGGGGUAGGGGCAAGCGGAACUUCCGGUGGAGCGGUGAAAUGCGUUGAUAUCGGAAGGAACGCCGGCGGCGAAAGCGGCUUGCUGGACCCCAUCUGACGCUGAGGCGCGAAAGCCAGGGGAGCGAACGGG
This 253-nucleotide ribosomal RNA is filed under the name uncultured bacterium. RNAcentral describes it as "partial 16S ribosomal RNA". It matches the Rfam family "Bacterial small subunit ribosomal RNA", at positions 524 to 776 of the family's 1533-position model. The record is from RNAcentral.